Molecule: non-coding RNA, 163 nt
Filed under: Candidatus Borkfalkia ceftriaxoniphila
Lineage: Bacteria; Bacillati; Bacillota; Clostridia; Christensenellales; Christensenellaceae
Description: Lysine riboswitch
Rfam family: Lysine riboswitch aptamer
About the family: Riboswitches are metabolite binding domains within certain messenger RNAs that serve as precision sensors for their corresponding targets. Allosteric rearrangement of mRNA structure is mediated by ligand binding, and this results in modulation of gene expression.
Source: RNAcentral
AAUAGAGGAGCGGAUGAACAAAAGUACCGUGCGCGCGGACAAAAGGCAGAUUUUGGUGCGCGGGAAAGGGUAUCUCCGCCGAAGCGCCGUUCGUUUGCCCGAACGGUUCGCUGGGCGCAAAGGUCAAUACCCUUGCGACUGUCACCGACGUGGAGAACUAUUU